CCUACGGGAGGCAGCAGUGGGGAAUAUUGCACAAUGGGGGAAACCCUGAUGCAGCAACGCCGCGUGAGUGAUGACGGCCUUCGGGUUGUAAAGCUCUGUCUUCAGGGACGAGAAUGACGGUACCUGAGGAGGAAGCCACGGCCAACUACGGGCCAGCAGCCGCGGUAAUACGUAGGUGGCGAGCUUUGUCCGGAUUUACUGGGCGUACAGGGAGCGUAGGCGGACUUUUAAGGGAGAUGUGAAAUACUCGGGCUCAACUUGAGUGCGGCAUUUCAAACUGGAAGUCUAGCGGGCAGGAGAGGCUACUGGCCUUCCUAUUGUAGCGGUGAACUGCGUAGAGAUUAGGCAGUCCCCCAGUGGCGCAGGCGAUUCUCUGUACUGUACCUGACGCUGAGGCUC
This 399-nucleotide ribosomal RNA is filed under the name uncultured bacterium. Its description in RNAcentral is "partial 16S ribosomal RNA". It matches the Rfam family "Bacterial small subunit ribosomal RNA", at positions 338 to 754 of the family's 1533-position model. The record is from RNAcentral.